GGUACCUAUCUGCAAAACGACCUCCCAAAACCAUUUCCGCAUCUUCUCUUCUCCCCCUGAUUCCGUUCCGUUUCUCUUUCCUCCCCCUCACCGACUCGCCGUCGCCGUUCGUCGUCGUCGCCACGGUCGCCGGCGGAGAGAGGCCUCGUCUCGCCGCCAAUGGCCUCCUCCGUCCCCAACGGACACGGCGCCGCCACCGCCACCGGCGAAGGAGGGACGCCACCGCCGCCGCCGCCGUCCUCCUCAUCCUCGCUGGUGUUCCUCGGGACGGGCUGCUCCAGCGCCGUGCCCAACGCGCGGUGCCUGAUCCAGCCCCCCGACCCGCCCUGCGCCGUCUGCUCCCAGUCCCUCUCCGUGGCCCCCGAGCUAAACCCUAACUACAGGUGCAAUACUUCUCUUCUGAUUGACUAUUGCCAAGAUGAAAAUGCACACAAAUAUAUUCUAAUUGAUGUUGGGAAGACAUUCCGAGAACAAGUUCUACGGUGGUUUGUCCAUCAUAAAAUCCCUUGUGUUGAUUCUAUUAUUCUGACUCAUGAGCAUGCUGAUGCAAUCUUGGGUCUUGAUGAUGUUCGGAUUGUACAGUCAUUUAGUCCUACGAAUGAUAUUGAACCAACUCCAAUUUAUCUAUCCCAAUUUGCUAUGGACAGCAUUGCCCAAAAGUUUCCUUACUUGGUCAGAAAGAAACUAAAGGAAGGGGAGGAGGUUCGGCGAGUUGCUCAGCUUGACUGGAGAGUAAUCGAGAGUGAUCUUCAGAUACCAUUUGUGACCUCAGGGCUAGAGUUUGUUCCCCUUCCAGUGAUCCAUGGCGAGGACUACAUUUGUCUGGGUUUCCUUUUUGGAAGAAAAUCAAAAGUUGCUUAUAUAUCAGACGUUUCAUGGUUUCCUCCAAGCACAGAACAUGGACCUCAUCAUUGUGUACAUAUGCCUACCUUUCAGCAAUUUCAAAGUCUGGAGGGGGUCAGCUGGAUUUGCUCAUCUUGGAUUGCCUUAGUAGGACUGGUUCUCAUAAUGUCCAUCUUUGUUGGGAUCAGACACUGGAUGCUGUUAAGAGGAUUUGCCCCAAAAGGGCAUUGCUCAUUGGGAUGACUGAUGAAAUGGACCAUCACAAGGACAAUGAAACGUUGGAAGAGUGGUCCAGAAGGGAGGGGAUAGAUGUGCAGUUAGCCCGUGAUGGAUCGCGUGUCUACAUUGAUCUGUAAAUUUGACAAAGGUACGGACCAAUGCUUUUAUUUGUUGUUUAGAUGACUACAGCGCUAUACAGAUCAGGCAUAUUUCUUAGUUCGUAUGAUGGAAUCUUGUUAGCUUCUACUCCCUCCGUAGUUAUAUUUGGAGGCUAUGAGAGUGACCGGAAAUGGCCGGAGGAUGCCGGAGAAUGUGCCGGCGGCGGCGCCGGCGGCGGGUUUUUGAUGAAAGCCGUGGUGGGGUCAGGACGUCAGGGCAGGGGUGUACUCUCACGGUCUCACCCCUAUGGACUUUUUUCCACUUAGGUCCAGUAGUUAAUACAAAUUUAUGAAAAAGGAUCGUGCAAAUGUAGAAGUAUUACAAGAUCUUUUGGAUAGAAGAAAUUCUUAGCCCCUUUGAUUGAAAGGAAAUUCAUAUGAAUUUUAAAGGAUUUCAUUCUUAUAGGAACUUUUCGUAUAUAGCUUUUGAAUCAAAGGAAUAAAUCCUAUGAAAUUCAUAUGGAAUGCUUCUUCCCAUAAAUUUUUGAAGGAAAUUUAACAUAAGGUAGAACAUCAUGGAAAGAAUCCUUUGACUCUUUAUCUCUCCCAAAAUUCAUGUGUUUUUAUUGCGGCCCAACCAAACGGUCAUUCCUAUAUUUUUUUCAUGUAUUUUCCAAUCCUCUAUUUUAUAUUUAUAUUUAUAUCAGAAUCCUAUAUUUUUCCUAAUUCUCCAUUUUUUUUUCAAUCCUGUGAUUCAAAGGAGCCCAUAUAAUUACUUUUAAGUAUUGGAAUCCUUGGUGAAAAAAAUUACUGUGACACCCUUUGUACCAAAGGAAUAGUAUUGCAAGGUUACUAUGGAUUGCUUCCCUAUACACUUCAUUCCAUAAGAAGUAUAACAUGAGCUCAUAUCUCUUGUUUUAUUUUUUUAUUUUUCCUCUCUCUCUGCUUUCUUUUCUACAUAGGAUUUCUUCUAAAAUUCAUGUAUUUGAAUUCUUGUGAACCAUCCAAAUAUAUUACAUCUAUUGUUCUUAUCUAA
Molecule: non-coding RNA, 2196 nt
Organism: Oryza sativa Japonica Group (Japanese rice)
Lineage: Eukaryota; Viridiplantae; Streptophyta; Magnoliopsida; Poales; Poaceae
Source: RefSeq, a predicted model, not a curated record